This 468-nucleotide ribosomal RNA is filed under the name uncultured bacterium. Its description in RNAcentral is "partial 16S ribosomal RNA". It matches the Rfam family "Bacterial small subunit ribosomal RNA", at positions 28 to 507 of the family's 1533-position model. The record is from RNAcentral.
GACGAACGCUGGCGGCGUGCUUAACACAUGCAAGUCGAACGGAAAGGCCCUGCUUUUGUGGGGUGCUCGAGUGGCGAACGGGUGAGUAACACGUGAGUAACCUGCCCUUGACUUUGGGAUAACUUCGGGAAACUGGGGCUAAUACCGGAUAGGAGCUCCUGCUGCAUGGUGGGGGUUGGAAAGUUUCGGCGGUUGGGGAUGGACUCGCGGCUUAUCAGCUUGUUGGUGGGGUAGGGGCUUACCAAGGCUUUGACGGGUAGCCGGCCUGAGAGGGUGACCGGCCACAUUGGGACUGAGAUACGGCCCAGACUCCUACGGGAGGCAGCAGUGGGGAAUAUUGCACAAUGGGCGGAAGCCUGAUGCAGCAACGCCGCGUGCGGGAUGACAGCCUUCGGGUUGUAAACCGCUUUCGCCUGUGACGAAGCGUGAGUGACGGUAAUGGGUAAAGAAGCACCGGCUAACUACGUG